GUCAUUGCAACCCUCAAGCACUGCUUGGUAUUGGGCCUCGUCCCCGCGACGGGCCCGGAAUUCGGUGGCGGUCCAGCGAGACUUCAAGCGUAGCAAGAUUAUACAUCCUCGCUGAGAACAAUCGUUGCGUGCCGGCCAGACAAUCACCUAGUUUUUCAAUGGUUGACCUCGGAUCAGGUAGGGAUACCCGCUGAACUUAA
This 200-nucleotide unclassified non-coding RNA is filed under the name soil metagenome. RNAcentral's name for it is "partial contains internal transcribed spacer 2 and large subunit ribosomal RNA". The record is from RNAcentral.